GUGGGCUUUUGGAGCUGCUAGAUUAACCGCCAGAACAGCAGAAUAACUUCUAGCUUGCUACCGCGGUCACCUGUUUUGGACUGGCAGGGGGUCUGAUUGUAAAAGAAACUGUCUGGAGAAUAAUCCCAAAACUAAUAAUGAACCAACAGGUGAAGCAAAUUAACUGGCGUGGAGUGAAUGGGAAGUAUGGCUUUGAACCACUUGCCAUUAAAGAUGUUGUCCUCAAAUCUACAAAGAAAUGCAAGUACUGCCAGUGCGUCGGACGGCGACAUUGAAAAGUUCAUAAAAAGAUGGCUGCAGCUUGCAUCUGACAAUGAUGUGGGAAGAAGAGAGCGGGCCCUAAAGCAAGCAAAUUCUUUCUAAGGUAUGUUCCAAAUGUUGUUACCAUUUACCAGAGUUACCAUUUAUGUCUUCAGUCUGAGAUUUCUGAGAUCUAUCUGACUAACGAACCAUAUGUGUCAUUGUCUGUGCCCUCUCUUAUCUCUCUCUUUCUGUCAAUCUGGUCCUGAGAUUUUCUAGUUUUUUGUUUUGCAUUUGUUCAUGCCAGUUUUUGCUAGUUCAUAUAAAGCUGUAUGUUAAUGUAAGGGUUCAA
Molecule: long non-coding RNA, 592 nt
Organism: Myxocyprinus asiaticus (Chinese sucker)
Lineage: Eukaryota; Metazoa; Chordata; Actinopteri; Cypriniformes; Catostomidae
Exons: 3
Source: RefSeq, a predicted model, not a curated record